AGCGCUUCUCGGCCUUUUGGCUAAGUUCAAGUGCAGUAUCUGUUCUUAUCAGUUUAAUAUCUGAUACGUCCUCUAUCCGAGGACAAUAUAUUAAAUGGAUUUUUGGAGAAGGGAGAUGGAAUAGGGGCUUGCUCGGUCCACUCCACAUAUCGACCUGGUAUUGCAGUACCUCCAGGAACGGUGCACCCCCU
RNAcentral lists this small nuclear RNA (191 nucleotides) under Dasypus novemcinctus (nine-banded armadillo). Its description in RNAcentral is "U2 spliceosomal RNA (ENSDNOG00000033152.1)". It matches the Rfam family "U2 spliceosomal RNA". Rfam says of the family: U2 is a small nuclear RNA (snRNA) component of the spliceosome (involved in pre-mRNA splicing). Complementary binding between U2 snRNA (in an area lying towards the 5' end but 3' to hairpin I) and the branchpoint sequence (BPS) of the intron results the bulging out of an unpaired adenosine, on the BPS, which initiates a nucleophilic attack at the intronic 5' splice site, thus starting the first of two transesterification reactions that mediate splicing. Lineage: Eukaryota; Metazoa; Chordata; Mammalia; Cingulata; Dasypodidae. The record is from RNAcentral.